CCGGAAUAUGGGGGCCUUUGUCUCCGGCUGCAGCUGGAGUUCUACGUCUAGUCUUCAGAGGCCCAGUCUCCGUGACUUUGUGACCUGCAGGUAUUGGGAGAUCCACAGCUAAGAUGCCAGGACCCCCUGGAAGCCUAGAAAUGAUGGAGUUUUGCUCCUGUUGCCCAGGCUGGAAAUGCUAUCGUGUGAUCUUGGCUCACUGCAACCUCCCCAUCCCAGGUUCAAGCAAUUCUCCUGCCUCAGCCUCCCGACUAGCUGGGAUUACAGGCAUGCGCCACCACGCCUGGCUAAUUUUGUAUUUUUAGUAGAGAUGGGGAUUCUCCAUGUUGGCCAGGCUCAUCUCAAACUCCCAACCUGAGGUAAUCCACCCGCCUUGGCCUCCCAAAGUGCUGGGAUUACAGGUGUGAGCCACUGUGUCCGGCACCUUUUUUUUGAGAACAAGAAGAAAAUGUGCAGAGUCUGUGUCUGGCUAUGUGAUAGGUAAGAAAAGACAGCACCAUCUAAGUCAUAAUGGGAAGGGUGUUUCUUUCCAUAAGCUGUUCCUGGAGCACACGAUGGAUGGAUAAUUUUAUUAAUCACAGCUAUUUUCUAGGAUUAUGUAUAAGCUUCAUUUUUUCCCAGCUCUUUUUUUGGUCCUAUAUGUUUUUUCCAUUUGACUUUUCCUGGGUUGUGGCUUUUACAAUAAACUGGUAAACAUGCUGAGUUCUGUGAGUAGCUCUAUCAAAUUAUUGAACUUCAGGGAGCUUAUGGGAGUUCUGAAUUUUUAAACAGUAGCUUACAAGCACAGAUGGGCCCAAGGGGUUUGUGAUUGGCAUCUGCUGUGAGGUCAAUGUAUUGAGACUAAGCCUGGAAUCAGGUUCUGUGCUGACUCUGGGUAGGGUCAGAAUUCAAAUGUUGGACAAUUAGUUGGUGUUGCAGAAUUGCUUGGUGUACAGCUAACUCUACACAUUUGGUGACAGAGAAAAGAUAUGGAAUCCUGGCUUGGACUAAUCGCUCGGUGUCUGGGAAUGGGAGGCUCUGCUCUCCUGUACACAGGCUGUCACGCUGCCCAUUGUCCUGUGAUUCUAGGUCUCCUCCCAGAGUGAGAGAGGAUGAAAACUUAAGGAGCUCUGAUGACAGUCCCCCUUUUCCCACAGCUGCCACCACAGUAUUCCCACCCACUCAUAAACAUACCCACUAGACAUUGACAUGUCCACACCCCUCCCCGGACUAGACACCACCAUCAGGAACUUCACCAUGGCAUUUUUCAUUCUAGUGUUUCUUGCCAAAAACCCACAAAAGUGUCUAUAAGUCUGGCAUAUCCCCACACCCAGACACUGAAUCUGCAGCAGAAACCUGUUUUCUCCACCUAGGGUUCUGGGCCACCUGUUCAUAACCUCAUCAGUCUACAUGGACCCAGAAAUAGCACAAACCAGUUCUUCUGCCUACAUUAGACUCUCCCCCACUAAUGGAGUUUUUACUUUUUAAUGUUUAUUUUUGGUUCAGGGGUACAUGUGCAAGUUUAUUAUAUAGAUAAAACUGUCAUGGAAAUUUGGUAUAGAUUAUUUUAUCACUGAAGUACUAAGCAUAGUACCCAACAGGUAUUUUUUCUGAUCUUUAUCCUUCCACUCUCUACUCCAAAGUGGGCCUCAGUGUCUGUUCCUCUCUUUGUGUCCAUGGUUUCCUUUUCUUUUUCUUUUUUUUUUUUUUAAGACAGAUUCUUGCUCUGUCACCCAGGCUGGAGUGCAGUGGUGCCAUCUCGACUCACUGCAACCUUGGCCUCCUGGGUUCAAGUGAUUAUUCUGCCUCAGCCUCUCAAGUAGCUGGGAUUACAGGCAUGCACCACCAUGCACGGCUAAUUUUUGUAUUUGUAGUAGAGAUGAGGUUUUGCCAUCUUGGCCAGGCUGGUCUUGAACUCCUGACCUCUGGUGAUCUGCCCACUUUGGCCUCCCAAAGUGCUGGGAUUACAGGUGUGAGCCACCGUGCCCAGCCUGUGUCCAUGUUUCCUUUUCUUUUUUUUUCUUUUUCUUUUUUUUUUUUUUUUGAGACAGAGUCUCACUCUGUCUCCCAGGCUGGAGUGCAGUGGCAUGAUGAUCUCGGCUCACUGCAAGCUCCACCCCCCGGGUUCACGCCAUUCUCCUGCCUCAGCCUCCUGAAUAGCCUCCCGAAUAGGUGCCUGCCACCACGCCCAGCUAAUUUUUUUUUUUGUAUUUUUUUUUAGUAGAGACGGGGUUUCACUGUGUUAGCCAGGUUGCUCUUGAUCUCCUGACCUCGUGAUCCACCUGUCUCAGCCUCCCAAAGUGCUGGGAUUACAGGCGUGAGCCACCGCACCUGGCCUCAUGUUUUCUUGUUAUUAUCUCUUAACUUAUAAAUAAGAACAUGCGUUUGGUUUUCUCUUUCUGUAUUAGUUUUCUAAGGAUAAUGGGCUUCAGCUCUGUUCAUGUUGCUGCAAAGGACAUAAUCUUGUUCUUUUUUUAUGGCCACACAGUAUUCCAUGAUGUUUAUGUACCAUAUUUUCUUUUAAAUAUUUUAUUUUAUUUUGGGGGGAGACCCAGGCUGGAGUCUGGGCGCCCACUGUCCUGUGAUGGGCACAAUCUUGGCUCACUGAAGCCUCAACAUCUUGCAUUCAAGCAAUCCUCCUACCUCAGCUCUCCAAGUAGCUGGGGCUACAGGUGCACACCACCACGACUGGCUAAUUUUUCUUUCUGUAUUUUUUGUAGACCAACAAAUGUUGCCUUGGUUGGUCUCAAACUCGAACUUAGGCAAUCCAUCUGUUUUGACCUCCCACAUUCUGGAAUUAUAAGCAUGAGCCACUUUGCCCAGCCAUACCAUAUUUUCUUUAUCCAGUCUGCCAUUUUUGAUGAGCAUGUUGAUUCCAUGUCUUUGCUAUUGUGAAUAGUGCCACAGUGAACAUGCAUGUCUAUGACAGAAUAACUUAUAUUUCUUUGGGCAUAUACCCAAUUAUGAGGUUGCUGGGUCAAAUGGUAAUUCUGUCUUUAAUUCUGUGAGGAAUCACCACACUGGUUUUCACGAUGGUUGAACUAAUUUACACUCCCACCAGCAGUGUGUAAGCAUUCCCUUUUCUCCACAACCUUGCCAGCAUCUGUCAUUUUUUAACUUUUGAGUAAUAGCCAUUCUGACUGGUGUGAGAAAGUAUUUUGCUGUGGUUUUUCUUUGCAUAUCUCUACUGAUUGGUGAUGAGCAUUUUUUCAUAUGCUUUUAGCCACACACAUGUCUUUUUUUAAAAAGCAUCUGUUCAGGCCGGACGUGGUGGCUCACGCCUGUAAUCCCAGCACUUUGGGAGGCCGAGGC
This 3291-nucleotide long non-coding RNA is filed under the name Homo sapiens (human). Its description in RNAcentral is "non-protein coding lnc-ZNF708-14:1". Lineage: Eukaryota; Metazoa; Chordata; Mammalia; Primates; Hominidae. The record is from RNAcentral.